Tripterygium wilfordii is the source of this 1724-nucleotide long non-coding RNA. RefSeq lists it as uncharacterized. NCBI's taxonomy places the organism in Eukaryota, Viridiplantae, Streptophyta, Magnoliopsida, Celastrales, Celastraceae. The transcript is spliced from 4 exons. The record is from RefSeq and is a predicted model, not a curated record.
ACUCAACCUCCGAGAUUUCUCGUAUCCAGUCCUGGUGCGUUUCCCUCCCCUGCGAUUUCUUCUGGUUUUUCCCUCCACAAUCUUCUUUUUCUCUCAUUCACACAAACACAAUAAGCCCAACCCUAAUCUCUUGUUAAAACCUAGAAAGCCUAGAAAUCGAACUCCGUCACUGCAUUUAUAGCCUCUAUAGUUUUCAUACGCUCCCUAUUUUCUAAUCUCCCUCUCUCUACGUAGACGAAGCAGUUAUUCCCUCUCCGCGGCUUGCUCCUUAAUUCUCUGGUUUUAGCCGGAUCUACGAGUAGACGAUCAUCCGGACCUCGUAGCCGCCACGGAGGCUGUGGUUCCUCUUUACGUCGUAGGUAGCCGGAUUCUUUGUCGUGCGAUCUUGGAGUCCACGAUUAUCCGGGCCUUGUAGCCGUCUCCAAGUGUAAGGCCGUGGUUCCCCCUACGUCUUUGAUCAGCGGACUCUUUUUUGUGCGGUACAUAUAUCUGAUCCUGAGUUGAUGACACUGGGCUCAGAGGCAUGACGGAUAUGCAACCAGUAGCCUUGAGAAAUGCUGCGGAACAACUUAACGUAUGCUUGAAAAUUACUGUUAUGCAUGUUCUUGUUGAUGCUCAGGCGACAUGAAAUUAAUCCAACUGAGAUGUUGAGGAAACAGCAGGCACUGCAGUGAGCAUGCUCGCGUAACUUGAUGUCAUGAAAACAAAGCAAUAUGAAGAGUGCGUAAAAGAAGGCUCUGAGGUUUGGAAACUUUUUUUGAUUGUUGGAUUCUUUUUUAAUCCCUUUUCAUUUACUUUUAUAAAUUUUGGCUAAUGCAUAAUAGCCCUUCCUAUUAUCUAUUUAAUCUAAGGGUCUGUCAGAUACUUCGCGAAGGUGAUCAAAAUCCUGAAAUUUUGAGAGUUAUUUUGUUUUUCACUUACACACAUUCUUUUCUAAUUGAAGCAAACAUAUUUGUAACUUUCACGUUUUGGCUUAAUAUCAUGUGUCAUUGUUCUUUAUGGAAGGGGGUCAAGCUUAUUGAGAACAUUUGGAGGUGAGUUCAUCUGGGGAUAUCUGUUGUUGUUGGCGCACUGAAUUUUUAUAUUCUUUAAAAGUUGUGCAAUUAUUAAUCAUCUUGUGCUGCCACAAUAACUAUCUAAUAUUUGGUUGGAUGCUUUCUUGUAUUUUAGUAAGGCACCUGAAGGUUUCCCAGAUGAUGACCUUUUGCAGAUGUCUCAAGGUAAAUCUUUCCUAAUUUCUCAAGAUACUCUAAAGUUGAGGACUUUGUGGUUUUUGUCCAACAUGCUUAAAGCAUCGUCACUAAAAUCAGGUGAGUAGAAGGUCUAUAUCUUUGAACUGUUUUUACUGCUUGGGUAGAGCAUGAUUUUAAGAAUUUUGAACUCACGAGACAAAAGAUAUAUGCUCUUAUGGCACUAAAUAUGUGCGUUUGUGAACUAUCAAGUUUAAAGUAACCCAGUUGAGGAAAACCCUGUGGUCACCUUGCAUGUUAUUGUGGAAGUCCAAGUGAAAGGAUGCACCAUUUAAUACAACUGUAUUUAUGCGAUGGUAUGCUGUUUGUUAUUUUAGUCACGGCUUGCGGAGAUCCGGUAAGUUGUGGGUUAUGGAAGUAUUGUAUUUGUAAUGCCCUUGAUGCAGUUUUUAAUUAUGGGGUGAUGCAAAUCUGUCUGUUAUAAAAAAAAAAUGUUGGCUUUGCCUUCUUUUUUAAUUGGGCUGAUUAAUACCA